RNAcentral lists this ribosomal RNA (429 nucleotides) under bacterium. RNAcentral's name for it is "partial 16S ribosomal RNA". It matches the Rfam family "Bacterial small subunit ribosomal RNA", at positions 355 to 776 of the family's 1533-position model. The record is from RNAcentral.
UAGGGAAUCUUCGGCAAUGGGGGCAACCCUGACCGAGCAACGCCGCGUGAGUGAAGAAGGUUUUCGGAUCGUAAAGCUCUGUUGUAAGAGAAGAACGUGUGUGAGAGUGGAAAGUUCACACAGUGACGGUAACUUACCAGAAAGGGACGGCUAACUACGUGCCAGCAGCCGCGGUAAUACGUAGGUCCCGAGCGUUGUCCGGAUUUAUUGGGCGUAAAGCGAGCGCAGGCGGUUUAAUAAGUCUGAAGUUAAAGGCAGUGGCUUAACCAUUGUUCGCUUUGGAAACUGUUAAACUUGAGUGCAGAAGGGGGGAGUGGAAUUCCAUGUGUAGCGGUGAAAUGCGUAGAUAUAUGGGGGAACACCGGUGGCGAAAGCGGCUCUCUGGUCUGUAACUGACGCUGAGGCUCGAAAGCGUGGGGAGCAAACAGG